RNAcentral lists this ribosomal RNA (383 nucleotides) under uncultured bacterium. Its description in RNAcentral is "bacterial SSU rRNA". It matches the Rfam family "Bacterial small subunit ribosomal RNA", at positions 28 to 412 of the family's 1533-position model. The record is from RNAcentral.
GACGAACGCUGGCGGCGUGCUUAACACAUGCAAGUCGAGCGGUAAGGCCCUUUCGGGGGUACACGAGCGGCGAACGGGUGAGUAACACGUGGGUGACCUGCCCUCAGCUCUGGGAUAAGCCCGGGAAACUGGGUCUAAUACUGGAUAUUACUCUGCGGUGCAUGCCGUGGGGUGGAAAGCCUUGUGCGGCUGGGGACGGGCCCGCGGCCUAUCAGCUUGUUGGUGGGGUGAUGGCCUACCAAGGCGACGACGGGUAGCCGGCCUGAGAGGGCGACCGGCCACACUGGGACUGAGACACGGCCCAGACUUCUACGGGAGGCAGCAGUGGGGAAUCUUGCGCAAUGGGCGAAAGCCUGACGCAGCGACGCCGCGUGAGGGAUGAC